AGUGUCCCUUGAGGUGGUUAGACCUAUGGGUUCUAGCCAAGUUUCCGUCAUUGGCCACCUGUACAUUGUGAUUGGUCUUCAUGAGUAUGGAGGCGGGAUUGGAUUGCGGAGUAUAAGUGGCUUGGUCUGGUGUCAGGAGGGGCUCUUUCUACUCUUUCCUUGGCUCACAGGCUUUACUCUACCCCUUCCUCCCACUUGCUCCCUCUCUCUGGCUCUGGCUUUUUGCUUCUCUGUCUGAUGAUUUCUCUCUCUCUCUCUCCCUCAUGGCUUUUUUGUAAUAAAAAGUUAAACACCUCCCGAUCCACUCGUCCUUUCGUGUAUCCGGGUAGGCUCUGAAGACUCGUGGAACACCAUGCACAGACCUCACCCUUCAGCAGUUUCGUGCGUAUUACGGAGCAGAGGUUGCCAAUUUCAGUAUCCGUUCAAGUCGUGGAACCGGAUGUGAUGUGAUGAGAUAUCGGUUCCAGAGACAGGCGAUUACACCUCAAGGUUACGGAUUUCUUGGUGUUUUGAAGAUAAAGUAUGAGCUGCAGUGAAGGGAGUGGAACUCGGUCUGCCAGUGUUUUGCUUGCAGACUAAAGACUGUAAUUUAACCAAUGCCAUUGGGGCUGAGGCCCUUCCUGUGAAUGUGACUGUGUUCCUGGUGGGCAUAAGACAUGUUACUUACCUGAGUGCCUUAAGCCCGAAUGACUGGUAUAGCUCCAAGGCAGAUUAGUAUAUAGCACGCAUGGCCAACGCCUUAGACAGGAAAAAACGAGACUUUCUAGGUGCCCUUGCUUUGGGGGCAAGCAUUUUUGAAGAGUUUCAAAUACAGGACUUGUAUGCUGAAAAUGAGAUUUUAGCUUCACAAAUAGAGCAACAAGCACGACUUCUACAAGAAGCUCUUGAAAGACAGGUGCAGAUAGAUCAACAACUGGAAUUUCAGAUCCAGGCACUGGCCAGAGUGACUCGCCAGCUUAGUAAUGAGUUGCUUUGGCAGGAAUUAUUGAAUCAACUCCCUUGUGAUGGAAGAUACCUGACCGCCUGCGUGACCCCUUUACAGUCAAGCUGUAAUGAUACUAUCAUCAAUGAGACACGCGUGUCUCAUUGGUGUGAGCAACAGGCAACUUUGAGUGCCAUUCAAUCCACUAAUAUGACUUUGGAGAUACAGGCGUUGAGACGAUUGGUAGAAUUGUCUAAGAACACCACAACAUAAAUGCAUGACAAUUCUAAUGAUGCCAUUAAGAAGAUUACAGACCGGAUGGGACAUGUGUACUCUCCAGUGGCUGGGUGGUUGGGACAUCUUAUUUCCCUUGGGUUCGCUAUCAUUUUCCUUUUUCUCCUGUUACCUUCCCUUCUUGUGUGUUUUGUGCAUUUGCUUAAAUCUGCUAUUGUGCAACUUUAGGCAGAAUUUGUGGUGAUGAGACCACGACCUCACCGUCCUUAAACAAAAAAGGGGGAGUUGUUAGGGCCCACCGUUCUGGGCUGGUCACGAAUAUGUCCACGAUGUGAUACUCAUCCUCCUAACAGAAUGAGAGUUACGCAUACGUAUGGGUUGACCUGACAUGGUUGAGGCGGCAGAGUACUGGACUGUUGCCACGACUCCAUCGACAAGCCCACUCAGUGUCCUUUGAGGUGGUUAGACCUAUGGGUUCUAGCCAAGUCUUCGUCAUUGGCCACCUGUGCAUUGUGACUGCUCUUCACGAGUGUGGAGGCAGGAUUGGAUUGCAGAGUAUAAGUGGCUUGGUCUGGUGACGGGAGGGGCCCUUUCUACUCUUUCCUUGGAUCGCACGCUUUACCCUACCCGUUCCUCCCACUUGCUCCCUCUCUCUGGCUCUGGCUUUUUGCUUCUCUGUCUGAUGAUUUCUCUCUCUCUCUCCCUCAUGGCUUUUUAGUAAUAAAAAGUUAAACACCUCCUGA
Long non-coding RNA from Phascolarctos cinereus (koala), 1899 nucleotides. RefSeq lists it as uncharacterized. The record is from RefSeq and is a predicted model, not a curated record. NCBI's taxonomy places the organism in Eukaryota, Metazoa, Chordata, Mammalia, Diprotodontia, Phascolarctidae.